GGUUAAGUUAGAAAGGGCGCACGGUGGAUGCCUUGGCACUAGGAGCCGAUGAAGGACGGGACGAACACCGAUAUGCUUCGGGGAGCUGUAAGCAAGCUUUGAUCCGGAGAUUUCCGAAUGGGGAAACCCACCACUCGUAAUGGAGUGGUAUCCAUAUCUGAAUACAUAGGAUAUGAGAAGGCAGACCCGGGGAACUGAAACAUCUAAGUACCCGGAGGAAGAGAAAGCAAAUGCGAUUCCCUGAGUAGCGGCGAGCGAAACGGGACCAGCCCAAACCAAGAGGCUUGCCUCUUGGGGUUGUAGGACACUCUGUACGGAGUUACAAAGGAACGAGGUAGAUGAAGAGGUCUGGAAAGGCCCGCCAUAGAAGGUAACAGCCCUGUAGUCAAAACUUCGUUCUCUCCUGAGUGGAUCCUGAGUACGGCGGAACACGUGAAAUUCCGUCGGAAUCCGGGAGGACCAUCUCCCAAGGCUAAAUACUCCCUAGUGACCGAUAGUGAACCAGUACCGUGAGGGAAAGGUGAAAAGCACCCCGGAAGGGGAGUGAAAGAGAUCCUGAAACCGUGUGCCUACAAGUAGUCAGAGCCCGUUAACGGGUGAUGGCGUGCCUUUUGUAGAAUGAACCGGCGAGUUACGAUCCCGUGCAAGGUUAAGCAGAAGAUGCGGAGCCGCAGCGAAAGCGAGUCUGAAUAGGGCGAAUUGAGUACGUGGUCGUAGACCCGAAACCAGGUGAUCUACCCAUGUCCAGGGUGAAGUUCAGGUAACACUGAAUGGAGGCCCGAACCCACGCACGUUGAAAAGUGCGGGGAUGAGGUGUGGGUAGGGGUGAAAUGCCAAUCGAACCUGGAGAUAGCUGGUUCUCUCCGAAAUAGCUUUAGGGCUAGCCUCAAGGUAAGAGUCUCGGAGGUAGAGCACUGAUUGGACUAGGGGCCCCUACCGGGUUACCGAAUUCAGUCAAACUCCGAAUGCCGAUGACUUAUCCUUGGGAGUCAGACUGCGAGUGAUAAGAUCCGUAGUCGAAAGGGAAACAGCCCAGACCGCCAGCUAAGGUCCCAAAGUAUACGUUAAGUGGAAAAGGAUGUGGAGUUGCUUAGACAACCAGGAUGUUGGCUUAGAAGCAGCCACCAUUUAAAGAGUGCGUAAUAGCUCACUGGUCGAGUGACUCUGCGCCGAAAAUGUACCGGGGCUAAACGUAUCACCGAAGCUGCGGACUGUUCUUCGAACAGUGGUAGGAGAGCGUUCUAAGGGCUGUGAAGCAAGACCGGAAGGACUUGUGGAGCGCUUAGAAGUGAGAAUGCCGGUAUGAGUAGCGAAAGAGGGGUGAGAAUCCCCUCCACCGAAUGCCUAAGGUUUCCUGAGGAAGGCUCGUCCGCUCAGGGUUAGUCGGGACCUAAGCCGAGGCCGAAAGGCGUAGGCGAUGGA
This 1422-nucleotide ribosomal RNA is filed under the name Bacillus velezensis. RNAcentral describes it as "partial 23S ribosomal RNA". It matches the Rfam family "Bacterial large subunit ribosomal RNA", at positions 1 to 1422 of the family's 2925-position model. The record is from RNAcentral. Lineage: Bacteria; Bacillati; Bacillota; Bacilli; Caryophanales; Bacillaceae.